This 253-nucleotide ribosomal RNA is filed under the name uncultured Tindallia sp. Its description in RNAcentral is "partial 16S ribosomal RNA". It matches the Rfam family "Bacterial small subunit ribosomal RNA", at positions 524 to 776 of the family's 1533-position model. Lineage: Bacteria; Bacillati; Bacillota; Clostridia; Peptostreptococcales; Tindalliaceae. The record is from RNAcentral.
UACGUAGGGGGCAAGCGUUAUCCGGAAUUACUGGGUGUAAAGGGUGCGUAGGCGGUAAUGUAAGUCAGGUGUGAAAGCCCAAAGCUCAACUUUGGGACUGCACUUGAAACUACAUAACUAGAGUACAGGAGAGGUGAGUGGAAUUCCUAGUGUAGCGGUGAAAUGCGUAGAUAUUAGGAGGAACACCAGUGGCGAAGGCGACUCACUGGACUGUAACUGACGCUGAGGCACGAAAGCGUGGGGAGCGAACAGG